Felis catus (domestic cat) is the source of this 85-nucleotide transfer RNA. It matches the Rfam family "tRNA". Rfam says of the family: Transfer RNA (tRNA) molecules are approximately 80 nucleotides in length. The record is from Rfam. NCBI's taxonomy places the organism in Eukaryota, Metazoa, Chordata, Mammalia, Carnivora, Felidae.
GUCUGGGUGGCUCAGUCGGUUGAGCGUCUGACUUCGGCUCAGGUCAUGAUCUCACAGUUCGUGGGUUCGAGCCCUGCGUCGGACU